GAGAUUUUUGUCUCUUAUAUUUUUUUCUCAAAACUAAUUCUUGGAAACAAAUAUUCUUCCAUCUUUUACCUUUCCACCAUUUUCCCUCUCACUUUACUGAUUAUCAAGACUGUACAUGGAGGAAUUUUAGUUUCAAAACAUAUUAACUCACUGGAUUUAAUUACAUACUGUGAAUGACUUAAGUUGUGAAUGGUACAUUUAAUCGUUUGCGCAAGAUAGAAAGCAAGACGACUCUACUUUAGAAAUGUCAGGCCCACUGGGCCCCCUACUUACGAGUGGCAACCCGGAAGAUCGUUUGCUGUAAUGGUGGCUGGUAUCCAGAACUACCCUAACAUCGGCGCUGGCCAAAAGAAUAGUAGAGUAAUCUGAUUUGAUUUACAUCUCUUUAUCUUGUUGUGAAUUUUAAUUGCGUAAGGCUUUUCAUCUGGUAUUAUUUUAGCUGCUGCUCUUGUCCAUUCAUUUAUGUGUUACACAAGAAUUUACAUUUUGCUUUUCAUCUGGUAUUAUUUUAGCUGCUGCUCUUGUCCAUUCAUUUAUGUGUUACACAAGAAUUUACAUUUUUCGCCGUUAUAACUCCUACUGGGCGUUCGCUCACCCGUUUUGUUUUGUUUUCACCCCCACAGAUUUUGAAGAGAGGUUAAUGCAGUAAGCUUAGGAAGAGCUUACAUCUAGGAGCUUAAGAGAAAGUUGGUAAUUUUGCUUGUCGAAUGUGUAUAUCACGGAGUCAUCUGGGUAGUUUGGUUCCCAUACAUCCAUGUCUAUUUUCUGUUGGUCGAUUCUCCCAUGUUUUUGGCUGUCUUAUAUUUCCGCUGUCAAAAUAAUUCUCUUGCCACUUUGAAUUUAAAAUUGACAAGCCAAGCCUUAUUUUUGCUUUUGCGAA
Molecule: long non-coding RNA, 880 nt
Organism: Papaver somniferum (opium poppy)
Lineage: Eukaryota; Viridiplantae; Streptophyta; Magnoliopsida; Ranunculales; Papaveraceae
Exons: 2
Source: RefSeq, a predicted model, not a curated record